This 1406-nucleotide ribosomal RNA is filed under the name Lampropedia hyalina. Its description in RNAcentral is "bacterial SSU rRNA". It matches the Rfam family "Bacterial small subunit ribosomal RNA". The record is from RNAcentral. Lineage: Bacteria; Pseudomonadati; Pseudomonadota; Betaproteobacteria; Burkholderiales; Comamonadaceae.
UGCAAGUCGAACGGCAGCAUGGGCUUCGGCCUGAUGGCGAGUGGCGAACGGGUGAGUAAUACAUCGGAACAUGCCUCGUUGUGGGGGACAACUACUCGAAAGAGUAGCUAAUACCGCAUAAGAUCUACGGAUGAAAGCAGGGGACCUUCGGGCCUUGCGCAAUGAGAGUGGCCGAUGGCAGAUUAGGUAGUUGGUGAGGUAAAGGCUCACCAAGCCUGCGAUCUGUAGCUGGUCUGAGAGGACGACCAGCCACACUGGGACUGAGACACGGCCCAGACUCCUACGGGAGGCAGCAGUGGGGAAUUUUGGACAAUGGGCGCAAGCCUGAUCCAGCAAUGCCGCGUGCAGGACGAAGGCCUUCGGGUUGUAAACUGCUUUUGUACAGAACGAAAAGCUUUGGGUUAAUACCCUGGAGCCAUGACGGUACUGUAAGAAUAAGCACCGGCUAACUACGUGCCAGCAGCCGCGGUAAUACGUAGGGUGCAAGCGUUAAUCGGAAUUACUGGGCGUAAAGCGUGCGCAGGCGGCUAUGCAAGACUGAUGUGAAAUCCCCGGGCUCAACCUGGGAACUGCAUUAGUGACUGCAUAGCUGGAGUGCGGCAGAGGGGGAUGGAAUUCCGCGUGUAGCAGUGAAAUGCGUAGAUAUGCGGAGGAACACCGAUGGCGAAGGCAAUCCCCUGGGCCUGCACUGACGCUCAUGCACGAAAGCGUGGGGAGCAAACAGGAUUAGAUACCCUGGUAGUCCACGCCCUAAACGAUGUCAACUGGUUGUUGGGAAUUUAUUUUUUCAGUAACGAAGCUAACGCGUGAAGUUGACCGCCUGGGGAGUACGGUCGCAAGACUAAAACUCAAAGGAAUUGACGGGGACCCGCACAAGCGGUGGAUGAUGUGGUUUAAUUCGAUGCAACGCGAAAAACCUUACCCACCUUUGACAUGUACGGAAGUUGCCAGAGAUGGCUUCGUGCUCGAAAGAGAGCCGUAACACAGGUGCUGCAUGGCUGUCGUCAGCUCGUGUCGUGAGAUGUUGGGUUAAGUCCCGCAACGAGCGCAACCCUUGUCAUUAGUUGCCAUCAUUUGGUUGGGCACUCUAAUGAGACUGCCGGUGAUAAACCGGAGGAAGGUGGGGAUGACGUCAAGUCCUCAUGGCCCUUAUAGGUGGGGCUACACACGUCAUACAAUGGCUGGUACAAAGGGUUGCCAACCCGCGAGGGGGAGCUAAUCCCAUAAAGCCAGUCGUAGUCCGGAUCGCAGUCUGCAACUCGACUGCGUGAAGUCGGAAUCGCUAGUAAUCGUGGAUCAGAAUGUCACGGUGAAUACGUUCCCGGGUCUUGUACACACCGCCCGUCACACCAUGGGAGCGGGUUCUGCCAGAAGUAGGUAGCUUAACCGUAAGGAGGGCGCUACCA